CGUAACACGUAUGUAACCUACCUUAAUCUGGGGGGAUAGCCUCUCGAAAGAGAGAUUAACACCGCAUAACAUGUUUGAAUAGCAUUAUUUUAAACAUCAAAUAUUUAUAGGAUUAAGAUGGGCAUGCGGAACAUUAGCUAGUUGGUAAGGUAAUGGCUUACCAAGGCUACGAUGUUUAGGGGAUCUGAGAGGAUGACCCCCCACACUGGUACUGAGACACGGACCAG
This 227-nucleotide ribosomal RNA is filed under the name uncultured bacterium. RNAcentral describes it as "partial 16S ribosomal RNA". It matches the Rfam family "Bacterial small subunit ribosomal RNA", at positions 109 to 334 of the family's 1533-position model. The record is from RNAcentral.